CCCGGCGUUGAAACGCCGGGCUAUUCUCGGGCAUCCCUUCGGGACG
RNAcentral lists this small RNA (46 nucleotides) under Candidatus Sulfotelmatobacter kueseliae. RNAcentral describes it as "Acido-Lenti-1". It matches the Rfam family "Acido-Lenti-1 RNA". The record is from RNAcentral. Lineage: Bacteria; Pseudomonadati; Acidobacteriota; Terriglobia; Terriglobales; Candidatus Korobacteraceae.